AGAGUUUGAUCCUGGCUCAGAUUGAACGCUGGCGGCAGGCCUAACACAUGCAAGUCGAGCGGUAGAGAGGAGCUUGCUCCUCUUGAGAGCGGCGGACGGGUGAGUAAUGCCUAGGAAUCUGCCUGGUAGUGGGGGAUAACGUUCGGAAACGGACGCUAAUACCGCAUACGUCCUACGGGAGAAAGCAGGGGACCUUCGGGCCUUGCGCUAUCAGAUGAGCCUAGGUCGGAUUAGCUAGUUGGUGAGGUAAUGGCUCACCAAGGCGACGAUCCGUAACUGGUCUGAGAGGAUGAUCAGUCACACUGGAACUGAGACACGGUCCAGACUCCUACGGGGGGCAGCAGUGGGGAAUAUUGGACAAUGGGCGAAAGCCUGAUCCAGCCAUGCCGCGUGUGUGAAGAAGGUCUUCGGAUUGUAAAGCACUUUAAGUUGGGAGGAAGGGCAGUAAAUUAAUACUUUGCUGUUUUGACGUUACCGACAGAAUAAGCACCGGCUAACUCUGUGCCAGCAGCCGCGGUAAUACAGAGGGUGCAAGCGUUAAUCGGAAUUACUGGGCGUAAAGCGCGCGUAGGUGGUUUGUUAAGUUGGAUGUGAAAUCCCCGGGCUCAACCUGGGAACUGCAUUCAAAACUGACUGACUAGAGUAUUGUAGAGGGUGGUGGAAUUUCCUGUGUAGCGGUGAAAUGCGUAGAUAUAGGAAGGAACACCAGUGGCGAAGGCGACCACCUGGACUAAUACUGACACUGAAGUGCGAAAGCGUGGGGAGCAAACAGGAUUAGAUACCCUGGUAGUCCACGCCGUAAACGAUGUCAACUAGCCGUUGGAAGCCUUGAGCUUUUAGUGGCGCAGCUAACGCAUUAAGUUGACCGCCUGGGGAGUACGGCCGCAAGGUUAAAACUCAAAUGAAUUGACGGGGGCCCGCACAAGCGGUGGAGCAUGUGGUUUAAUUCGAAGCAACGCG
RNAcentral lists this ribosomal RNA (960 nucleotides) under uncultured bacterium. RNAcentral's name for it is "bacterial SSU rRNA". It matches the Rfam family "Bacterial small subunit ribosomal RNA", at positions 8 to 963 of the family's 1533-position model. The record is from RNAcentral.